CCCUACAACUGCAAGAUCCGCGGAGAGCGAGCCUCCAGUCCAUCCAUUCUAUGCCUGCAGGAGCUUAUGAUACAACCCUUACUGGGCGCAACUCCCUUCUCCUCUUCGAAUUGCCUUCGUCGCUCCAAAAUUGAUAUACAUUAGACAUUCUCAAGCUAUACCCUGAUGCUAGUGGAAUUUGAUUCGUAGACUAUGCUCAAUUGACAACAUUAUAAUCUGGAGAAAUAAUGGAUUUGAUUUAAACAUUUGUUCGAAUUUUAAUUUCUUUUACCCCUCAAAUUUGUGAGACUGAUACUGUUUAUUAAGAAUUGAAUAUAGCUCUACAAAUAUCCUUUUUACUCCUGAAUUUGAAUGCUUCUUAAGAUACGGAUUCUUGUUUCUUUUACCUGUUA
Jatropha curcas is the source of this 392-nucleotide long non-coding RNA. RefSeq lists it as uncharacterized. The record is from RefSeq and is a predicted model, not a curated record. NCBI's taxonomy places the organism in Eukaryota, Viridiplantae, Streptophyta, Magnoliopsida, Malpighiales, Euphorbiaceae.